AUGGCAUGAAACUAAACUGACCACAGGUUUCAUUGUGACAAGGGGCACAAAACUUGUGGCCUUCCUAUGAACAAAUACCAAACAUGU
This is a small nucleolar RNA of Balaenoptera musculus (blue whale), 87 nucleotides long. NCBI's taxonomy places the organism in Eukaryota, Metazoa, Chordata, Mammalia, Artiodactyla, Balaenopteridae. The record is from Ensembl.